RNAcentral lists this long non-coding RNA (1501 nucleotides) under Equus caballus (horse). RNAcentral describes it as "lncRNA (ENSECAG00000058335.1)". Lineage: Eukaryota; Metazoa; Chordata; Mammalia; Perissodactyla; Equidae. The record is from RNAcentral.
GCCGGCCUGGCGCUGGGGAGGACCUCCGAGCACCACGGUCAGCGGGCAGGCGCGUUCACAGGGCAGCAGGGAAGGUCCUGACACAGCCGGUCCCCCAGGCCCAGCCGUGUGCGCGGCCGUGGUGAUCUGGAGACCGGGGACAGGUCAGGACGGCAAGGCCCUGCUGUGUGCUGCCCAAGGCCUCAGACUGGGUCUUGGAGCCCAUGGCCUAUCCACCCAGCAGCGGAAAAGCCAGGGCAGAGCAAGUCCUGAACUUCCUUUGGGCCUGGCCCCCUAUUUCUUACCGUACCGGGAAGUCUUGCUAUUUUAGACGAAGCCCCGACUCCUGGACAGCAAGCCCCAGGCCACGCAGCUUGGAUGUGUCUGAACCCAGAUUUUCUUCUACCGCUGAUGAAAAACAUACAGAUACCAGGGCCCUGCUCCCGGACUCUGGUUUCACUUUGGGGAGGAGGUCUCAGUUCGGGCGCUGUUUGAACAACUGCCCAGGCGGUCCUAGUGUGCAGGCAGGCUUGAGCCGCACUGAGCUGGAGGCAGCUCUUCCCACCAGGCCGGCCCUCGCAUACCAGGCGCCCCGCCCAGGCCUGGGGCAGCCCGCUGUGGCUGCAGGCCCCGCCCUCUCCCACAGGAUGGGGCAGCGGCCAGGGGCAGGCAGCUCUGCUCCCCAGCACUGGGGCUGGGGGAGACUGGCUAAGGCAGGGGUCUGGGAAAGCCUCUCUGAGAGGUGGUGUUUAGUCUGCUCCCUCAUCCCCAGGAGCUAAAAGAAGCCGGACAUUGACCAGGAAGGACCAUCCACGUAGGGCUGGAGUAGGAUGACCAACUGCCCCGGCUUGCCUGGAACUGUGCUAAAACCAGGGCGGUCCCGGGCAGGCCUGGAUGAGCUGGUGCCACGAGAGCCUGGAGCCACAGGACAGGAGGGAGCGCGGGCAAAUGCCGCCAGGAGCCCGGAGCUGGCAGGGGUUCCCACCUUGCAAAACCCAGUCCUGUCCUCACCUUGGCAGGCAAGGGGGCUUGAAAUUCAGGAGGAAAGGGAGCUUUCCUUGAGUUCUAGAAGAAUAGCUGAUUUCCAGAAGAAUAGCCUAUCCGCGUGACCCACCGUGAACUAACCUCACUUGGCCAGCGCACGGGCGCCCAGUGCUGAGGUUCCACCGAGAGCAUGGCCACAGAGCGCACAGCUGUGACAAGCGACAGGCCUCGCGUCUGGAAGAUGAGACCCUACACUGUGGGAACUCUCCGAGCUUUCUGGUGACAGCUACCACACAGUAAACUCAGUUCGCUGGUUUAUUCAUGAUGCUUGUUUUAUGGUGAAGACCGGGAGGCCCUGAGAGGGGUGGCUGGCCUUGGGUCACAGAGCCAAGCCGCGUCAGGGCCCCCUGGAGGCGUGCCCACAGCACUGCCCAUCCCAGGCCCAGCUUUGCCAGCCUCCUCACUUCUGGCUUCCCGAGGGCUCCUUCUUUCUCCGCCUCCCCUGCACCCCGCCCCCCGCUCCCGCUCCCUGCCCCCC